This 482-nucleotide ribosomal RNA is filed under the name uncultured bacterium. RNAcentral's name for it is "partial 16S ribosomal RNA". It matches the Rfam family "Bacterial small subunit ribosomal RNA", at positions 30 to 507 of the family's 1533-position model. The record is from RNAcentral.
AUUGAACGCUGGCGGCAUGCUUUACACAUGCAAGUCGAACGGUAACAGCACUUCGGUGGCUGACGAGUGGCGAACGGGUGAGUAAUACAUCGGAACGUGCCUAGUAGUGGGGGAUAACUACUCGAAAGAGUAGCUAAUACCGCAUGAGAUCUAAGGAUGAAAGCAGGGGACCUUCGGGCCUUGCGCUACUAGAGCGGCUGAUGGCAGAUUAGGUAGUUGGUGGGAUAAAAGCUUACCAAGCCGACGAUCUGUAGCUGGUCUGAGAGGACGACCAGCCACACUGGAACUGAGACACGGCCCAGACUCCUACGGGAGGCAGCAGUGGGGAAUUUUGGACAAUGGGCGCAAGCCUGAUCCAGCAAUGCCGCGUGCAGGAUGAAGGCCUUCGGGUUGUAAACUGCUUUUGUACGGAACGAAAAGCCCUCUUCUAAUACAGGAGGGUCAUGAAGGUACCGUAAGAAUAAGCACCGGCUAACUACGUG